AUGUCUCUAUCUCUCUCUGUCUCUCUGUGCAGGAGUUUUCGUUCUGUCAGGUGUGGAGCAGUAACCAGCAGCCUUUGCACUGUGCCUUUUCUCUGGAGAGGUUCACCACUGCCACCACGCAGCUCUCCUGCAAGAUCAGCGUGCGCCAGGUCAAAGGUCAUGAGCAGAUCCUGCAGGUCUACACCACCGUGGCAGAGAGGGAAAAGGAAACGCUCCCCUUUUUUAUGCAGGCAGAUUGCACGGUCACCUCGCAGACGGGCGCCAAAGCCUUCAAAAUCCCCCUGUCCAUUCGGCAGCGGAUCUGCGCCACCUUCGACACUGCCAACGCCAAAGGCAAGGACUGGCAGCUCCUCGCCCAGAAGCUCCACAUUCAGAGGAAUCUGUCCUACUUCGCCAAGCAGCGCAGCCCGUCUGGGGUCAUCCUCAGCUUGUGGGAGGCCCGGCACCAAGCCAGCGGCGACCUGGACUCUCUUGCCAGCGCUCUGGAGGAAAUCAGCAAGAUCCACACCAAAAGCUCGGCCAAGACGAGCCCGGACGAGACGGAGAUGGAGCCUGACUUUAACCAGUGAGCCCCCGGGGCUGUGACCCAAAGCGGAUGCAAACCUAAUCACUGCAUCGGUCUGCAGCUGACAACGAGAGCGCUGGACUCCUGGACCUCUGAGCUCUUCAGAGAAACAACAAACAAUCGAGUAAAAGAGUAAAACACACCUGAUUGGUGGUUUAAGUCCACAAUCGGCUUAAUGACGACGUAAAGGGAGGAGGGAACGUACUUAACCUACUUGGAGAAACUUGACACGUAAACUUGAAGCAUAAAAAAAAGCAGCCAGAGCGAAGAGACGUCCGUCAAGCGAAACUUUUCGUUUCGUUUAGUAGAAGCUUUUCCGCUUCCUCUGACCUUCUUCUUUAUCAGUGGUUUGGUCGGUUGGUUGGUCAGUCAGUCAGUUGGCAUUCUUGCUUUUCUAGCAGAGCUCUGUGUGUAUGUGUGUGUGUGUGUGUAAGUGUGUAAGUCCAGCGUCUGGCAGCAUGGACCGGACCUUUAAACGCUUCAGUGUGGUGACAUUUACUUACUUACUUACUUGCGUACGUAUAUACUCUGGACUCUGGACUCCGGAUUAUGGACUUUGGACUUUGGACUCUCUGGUUUGUGGCUGGUUUUGGCACUACGAAGCGUUUAGAGGAAAGAGGUCACCUGGUCAAUUGAAGCGGCGGCUCUACUUUUUAAAGAACGAAAGAAGAAAGAAGCGAAGGAAGGCUUUGGUUGUUGAGUGGGGAUCUGUUCUUCACACACUGUGUUUUCUGCAGCCUGCUCUUACAUUUAUUUUCUGUUGAUUUUCGUUUUCUUUUAUUCCUCCGGUUGCUCCCUCAGCAGGGGGCCAGCCAUUGUAAAUGUCGUUGCUGGGACGCUGAUGAAUAAAAUAUGUCAAAUGGUGUUUUAUUAUUACGAA
This 1445-nucleotide long non-coding RNA is filed under the name Astyanax mexicanus (Mexican tetra). RNAcentral's name for it is "lncRNA (ENSAMXG00005013736.1)". The record is from RNAcentral. Lineage: Eukaryota; Metazoa; Chordata; Actinopteri; Characiformes; Acestrorhamphidae.